Long non-coding RNA from Eriocheir sinensis (Chinese mitten crab), 533 nucleotides. RefSeq lists it as uncharacterized. The transcript is spliced from 3 exons. The record is from RefSeq and is a predicted model, not a curated record. NCBI's taxonomy places the organism in Eukaryota, Metazoa, Arthropoda, Malacostraca, Decapoda, Varunidae.
GGUAAGGUAAGUGGAGGUAAGGUAAGGCAAGGGAAAGCAAGGUAAGGUCAGGUAAGGUUAGGUAAGGUAAGGACAGGUAAGGUUAGAUAAGGUAAGGUCAGGUAAAGUUAGGUAACGUAAGGACAGGUAAGGUUAGAUAAGCUAAAGGCAGGUAAGGUAAGGUAAGGUCAGGGCAGGUAAGAUAAGGUAAAGUAAGGUUAAGUAAGGUAAGGUAAGGUAAGGUAAGGUAAGGUAAGGUUAGGUUAGGUUUGGUGAGGUAAGGCAAGGGCAGGUAAGGUAAGGUAAGGUAAGAUAAAGUAAGGUAAGGUUAGAUAAGGUAAGGAGAGGUAAAAUAAGGGCAGGUAAGGUAAGGGCAGGUAGGGUAAGGUUAGGAGAGGUAAAGGCAGGUAAGGUAAAGUAAGGUUAAGUAAGGUAAGGUAAGGCAAGGUAAGGUAAGGUAAGGGCAGGUGAGAGCGUGAGCCAGCCAGGUAUUCAAAAGAGGUCGAUUGCACAGGUGAACGAGGGGGCAGUGUCCUCUCUCUCUCUCUCUCUGU